RNAcentral lists this small RNA (788 nucleotides) under Pongo abelii (Sumatran orangutan). RNAcentral's name for it is "processed transcript". The record is from RNAcentral. Lineage: Eukaryota; Metazoa; Chordata; Mammalia; Primates; Hominidae.
AGGCCCUGCAGUCGCAGGCCUUGCACGCCACCUCGCAGCAGCCCCUGAGGAAGGACAAGGACAAGAAGAAAUCAGAUAUAGGAGCACACCAGCCGGGCAUGAGCCUCUCCAGCUCUAAGGUGAUGAUGACCAAGGCCAGUGUGGAGCCCUUGAACUGCAGCAGCUGGUGGCCCGCCAUACAGUGCUGCAGCUGCCUGGUCAGGGAUGCGACGUGGAGGGAAGGAUUCCUCUGAGGCAGCAGCUCCAACACAUGGGGCCAGCUCAGGACCACCAGGGCAUGGAACUGGAGACCAUGGUUUUUAAUGUUAGAACAGAAAACCCCAUACUUUUCAUAUAUCAAUGACCAAAAGUGCAAACAAUUUAAAUUUCCAUCAGGGAACAUCAAAUGUUGCCCAACCCUUUUCAUUCCUAUCCAUGGCUCCGUAAGGGGCUUGAGGCCUAAUGCCCAUCCUGUGGCCAAGCUGAGCUUCCACUCCGAGACAAAAAAAAAAGAGUCUGCUUUGUGACAUCAUCCUUAUGAGCAGAAAGUACCUAGAUGACAAUGUUUCCAUUCUGAAAAAUAGAAACAUACUAUUCAAGACCAAGGUAGCAGAAAAGUUACUUGUAUCUGCUUAUCAUAAGAAGAAACUCUGCAACUUGGCAACAGUGGCCAGUUUAAAUAAUGAAACAGCCUUUAAUAAUUUAAUCUUCAUGCUUCAUAACAAACCAAAAGCCCAUGAGAUUUCCACAUUGCAUAAUUUUGCCUUACUAACAGAAUCAUAUCCUUAAGGAUGACCAUCAUUCCCCCC